Molecule: ribosomal RNA, 253 nt
Filed under: uncultured bacterium
Lineage: Bacteria
Description: partial 16S ribosomal RNA
Rfam family: Bacterial small subunit ribosomal RNA
Source: RNAcentral
GACAGAGGGUGCGAACGUUGUUCGGAAUUACUGGGCGUAAAGCGCGUGUAGGCGGCAACGCAAGUCGGGCGUGAAAUCCCACGGCUCAACCGUGGAAGUGCACUCGAAACUGCGUAGCUAGAGUCCUGGAGAGGAAGGUGGAAUGCUUGGUGUAGAGGUGAAAUUCGUAGAUAUCAAGCGGAACACCGGUGGCGAAGGCGGCCUUCUGGACAGUGACUGACGCUGAGACGCGAAAGCCAGGGGAGCAAACGGG